Molecule: transfer RNA, 64 nt
Filed under: Donacia flemola
Lineage: Eukaryota; Metazoa; Arthropoda; Insecta; Coleoptera; Chrysomelidae
Description: tRNA-Val
Source: RNAcentral
CAAGUUAGAGUUAAUUAUAAUAUUUUAGUUACAUUAAAAAGAUAAUCUUAAAGAUUUAACUUGA